Sinocyclocheilus rhinocerous is the source of this 696-nucleotide long non-coding RNA. RefSeq lists it as uncharacterized. Lineage: Eukaryota; Metazoa; Chordata; Actinopteri; Cypriniformes; Cyprinidae. The record is from RefSeq and is a predicted model, not a curated record. The transcript is spliced from 3 exons.
AACAUUGCUCAUAAAAAAUGACCAGCCUUUUAGGGUAGCGUUCAAGCAGAACCCGUGUUUGCGAUAGAAACGCAAGAGACAGGGCAGUGAAAUGAGAGGAAAAGCAAGGCCUAGAGUUGAGUUUUUUUAGAAGGUGUCUUUUAAUUUGAGUACCGCUUGUGGCUUCUUUUUCCAUUAUAGUGCUAUAAAAUUGGGAUUAGAAUUCUAGAAAUGCGCAUAAGAGUGUGGACGGCAUGCAGCGUGAUCUGUAGAGAAACAUGCACUGGAGCGAGACACCAUGAGGAUCACCACAUUGUUUAGAAAGGAGCUUUUGAAGUGAACGGAGAAAGGAGCACUGACUGUAGCAAAUUACCUGGGCUGAAACAUUUUUGACAUAAGUCCUAAGAGGCGGGUGAGCCACUUCUCCCUGGAGGCCCCAUCGGGAGCGUUUAAUCUCAGGCCAUGAGACGCAGCAUUGCUGACAGACUGACAGGACAGCUGGACACGCUUCCAGGCGGCAGUGACGGACACGCCAGUCUUCGGAGCAGGGCCACUGCCCAUGCAUCACCACAAAGCACCAUGAUGAUGGCAGCAGGGGGCAGCUGAAAGGGCUCGGAGUUGGCAGAGAUGCAGCAUGGGUUGACAGGCAGGCACUCGCUGGUGACAGAGCACCGGAGCUUCUGUCUCUUUGAAGUUUCUUCUCUGUAAGCAUUUCUA